AGAAUCAACGCUGGCGGCGUGCCUAACACAUGCAAGUCGAACGAGAAAGUGGAGCAAUCCAUGAGUAAAGUGGCGACCGGGUGAGUAACACGUGACUAACCUACCUUCGAGUGGGGGAUAACCUCGGGAAACCGAGGCUAAUACCGCAUAACAUCGCAAGAUCAAAGCAGCAAUGCGCUGGAAGAGGGGGUCGCGGCUGAUUAGCUAGUUGGCGGGGUAAUGGCCCACCAAGGCGAAGAUCGGUAGCCGGCCUGAGAGGGCGCACGGCCACACUGGAACUGAAACACGGUCCAGACUCCUACGGGAGGCAGCAGUGGGGAAUUUUGCGCAAGUGGGGAAACCCUGACGCAGCAACGCCGCGUGGAGGAUGAAGCCCCUUGGGGUGUAAACUCCUUUCGACCAAGACGAUAAUGACGGUACUGGUGGAAGAAGCACCGGCUAACUCUGUGCCAGCAGCCGC
Molecule: ribosomal RNA, 460 nt
Filed under: uncultured bacterium
Lineage: Bacteria
Description: SSU rRNA
Rfam family: Bacterial small subunit ribosomal RNA
Source: RNAcentral